UGGGGAAUAUUGCACAAUGGGGGAAACCCUGAUGCAGCGACGCCGCGUGCGGGAUGAAGGCCUUCGGGUUGUAAACCGCUUUCAGCAGGGACGAGGCCGCAAGGUGACGGUACCUGCAGAAGAAGCCCCGGCUAACUACGUGCCAGCAGCCGCGGUAAUACGUAGGGGGCAAGCGUUAUCCGGAUUCAUUGGGCGUAAAGCGCGCGUAGGCGGUUUGUUAGGUCAGGAGUUAAAUCUGGGGGCUCAACCCCUAUCCGCUCCUGAUACCGGCAGGCUUGAGUCUGGUAGGGGAAGGCGGAAUUCCAAGUGUAGCGGUGAAAUGCGCAGAUAUUUGGAAGAACACCGGUGGCGAAGGCGGCCUUCUGGGCCACGACUGACGCUGAGGCGCGAAAGCUAGGGGAGCGAACAGG
This 410-nucleotide ribosomal RNA is filed under the name Verrucomicrobiota bacterium. RNAcentral describes it as "Verrucomicrobia bacterium partial 16S ribosomal RNA". It matches the Rfam family "Bacterial small subunit ribosomal RNA", at positions 355 to 776 of the family's 1533-position model. Lineage: Bacteria; Pseudomonadati; Verrucomicrobiota. The record is from RNAcentral.